This 236-nucleotide transfer-messenger RNA is filed under the name Candidatus Pelagibacteraceae bacterium. Its description in RNAcentral is "partial transfer-messenger RNA". It matches the Rfam family "Alphaproteobacteria transfer-messenger RNA", at positions 1 to 255 of the family's 355-position model. From Rfam's summary of the family: Bacterial tmRNA, also known as 10Sa RNA or SsrA, is named for its dual tRNA and mRNA-like properties. Its role is to liberate the mRNA from a stalled ribosome. The record is from RNAcentral. Lineage: Bacteria; Pseudomonadati; Pseudomonadota; Alphaproteobacteria; Candidatus Pelagibacterales; Candidatus Pelagibacteraceae.
UUUAUUGUAAGUGUUAAUUAUAUUAUUAUAUUAAUUCAGUUGGUUUUCCAACUAUGACGAUAAACGAGUUUCGUAAUAAGCAUUGCGGACGUGGGGGCAGUACCCACCACCUCCACCAUUUAUAACUUAUGGGGGUGAAAUAGAAUCGACGGGUGUCUAAAAGUUAUUCUUUCGUUCGGUAUGGUACCGCCGUAAUGGACUAAAUUAUAAAUGCAAAUAAUAAAUUUGCACUUGCA